Molecule: non-coding RNA, 84 nt
Organism: Yarrowia lipolytica CLIB122
Lineage: Eukaryota; Fungi; Ascomycota; Dipodascomycetes; Dipodascales
Source: the annotation of a RefSeq genome assembly
GGUAUCCUGGCCGAGCGGUCUAAGGCGCCAGGUUAAGGCUUCCUGGUCUCUUCGGAGGCGUGAGUUCGAAUCUCACGGAUAUCA